UGAGGAAUAUUGGGCAAUGCCCGCAAGGGUGACCCAGCAACGCCGCGUGGAGGAUGAAUGUCGUAAGAUUGUAAACUCCUGUUAGAGGGGAAGAAUAGUACCGGUUGGACCGGUAUAUGACUGUACCCUCAGAGAAAGCCCCGGCUAACUACGUGCCAGCAGCCGCGGUAAUACGUAGGGGGCAAGCGUUGUCCGGAUUUACUGGGUGUAAAGGGCGCGCAGGCGGGAUAAAAAGUCAGUGGUGAAAUCCUACAGCUUAACUGUAGAACUGCCUUUGAUACUUUUAUUCUUGAGUUCGGGAGAGAGAGACGGAAUUCCAGGUGUAGUGGUGAAAUACUUAGAUAUCUGGAAGAACACCAGUUGCGAAGGCGGUCUCUUGGUCCGACACUGACGCUGAGGCGCGAAAGCGUGGGGAGCAAACA
This 422-nucleotide ribosomal RNA is filed under the name uncultured bacterium. RNAcentral's name for it is "bacterial SSU rRNA". It matches the Rfam family "Bacterial small subunit ribosomal RNA", at positions 355 to 774 of the family's 1533-position model. The record is from RNAcentral.